This 3143-nucleotide long non-coding RNA is filed under the name Homo sapiens (human). Its description in RNAcentral is "HSALNT0308798". Lineage: Eukaryota; Metazoa; Chordata; Mammalia; Primates; Hominidae. The record is from RNAcentral.
AAAUGUGGAGAACACUCAGGGGGAGGUGGAAGAGAGAAAGCAGUGAACAGAUUCAUCUUCCCUUCUAUAUCUGAAAGGAUAAGCAGGCUGUGCUUUCCAGAAAUGCGUGACCUAUCCAAUCCUUCCUCUCAUGGAAACACCAACUCAUCCAUGCCCUCUGUGCUGAAACUUCGUCUCAGCCUGCUGGAAUCACCUGCACCCCAUGGGAACUGUAGCCAUAUCUUCAGUCCUGUGAGCCCCCGUCAUGGCCUGUCACAGGAGUAAAUGAGGAGUAAGGCCCAGAAUACUCAGUACCUCUCAAUGACCCUCAGACGCUGUAGGAAGAGGAUUGGUUCACCUUUUAACCCAGAAUUUCUCACAUUGAAUGGACAGGAUGCAUUCCAAGAGGCCAGAGUAUGUGCAUCUCAGCUCCUGAUGGUUUCCACCACCACCAUUACUUUCUCUAUGUCAAGAUACCUGGGAAGCCGGAGUUGUUUUAAGGCAGAGUAUCAUAUCGCAUCAAAACCGCUCCAUAAGUCCUGCCACUCCACGUGCAAUGCCAUGAACUUGAAGAAACUGCUGGUUAGAAGAAUCUUGGUCGUCCAGAAAGCUUGCUAUAGCUGCCCAGCAUUUGCCUCCUCCACAAAGAAGGACCAAAAGAACAAGUAGACAAUCACAUGCCAAAUAAAAUGUCUAAAGGAGAGCACUGAAGCUCAGCAAAAACGUUACAAAGACCCUCUGAGGUGCAGAAACUCGGGAUGGCAGCACAAAGAGGAAAGCAAAGCAGCCGGUCAGGAUCAGCUCACAGUCAAGGGCGCCCCGCCUUGAGUAGGAAAUGUAAGCAGGAGAUGCCCUGCAGGCAACAUUCCCACCACAAAUGCCUGCAAGCCUAGCUGUAGGAGAGCCUCGCAGUGUUGAGCCCAGUGCGGGAGCUGCCUGGAGUCUCUGUGACUACAUUACUCCAGAGAGGCCACUGGGUCCCUCCUUAGUCCCUGGGACCCAAGCCGCUGCAGCACAGUAUCAUUUUGAGGACAGAGCCACUGCCAGAAUGCUUCCUGUCCUGGGGCCCGGUAACCCCUGCAUGUCCUCAUCACUGGAGCCCCAAUAUCAUUCCACAGUUGUAUGAGGAGUAAAAAUAACUAUAAAUAAAGAUAACUCAAGAAUUCUAUAAGCAAGCAUACACAUGAAAUUCAUUUUAUAAGAGGAAAGCUAACUCCAUCUCUCUUGAAAUAUGGAAUAGGUUCUUGAAGCAAUUCUAAAUGCUGAUCUGCUGGAAUGAUGGCUUCAUUGCACAAGAAUUCUGCUUAGUUCAUUGAAGUCUCCUUGAAGAAGUCAGUCUGAGAAUGGGGGAAUUCCGUUGUUGGUCAGAAGAAUUCUUUGGUCACUAUUGGAAGUGGGUUCAGUUUAGGGUGACUAUUGAUCAACAGGGUUCAUGGGUUUGCUAAAACUCAUUUCAGGCAAGCUUUGGAAGUGCAGUUCGCUUGGUGCUUAUGGGGUUAAAAACAGGAGGAAGAGAAUUUCACAUUAUUGGAGGGCCUGAAAGGAAACUGAUUCCCGCAAGAUGCUCAGACAAGAUCAAACCCAGCCCCUUUUCUGGUUUGGAAUUUCUCUGGGCUAUAAAGGUAGAAGAAAAGGCCCUGCAUGGGCCCACUCUAAGUGCUUGGAGGUUUUAGAUAAUUUUAUUAAAUUGUAGAAUCUUAAACAGAACUACAAGGUUGCUUUUAAAACCAGAUCUCAGAUUUCUUUGAGCUAACAAAUGGUAAAAUGUAUCUUUAGUAUUAGAGUGAGAUAAAGGUAGUUAUAACUUUUUUUUUUACUUAUUUUAUGUUAACGUAUGCAACAAAGGGUACAAAUUGUAGGUACGCAGCUCAUUGAACUUUUAUGUCUGCACAUGCCUAUGAAACCAACACCCAGAGUAAGAUGCGGAUAAUUUUCUGCUCCCCUGAAAAUUCCCUUGUGCCUUUUCCUCAUCAGUACCUCCAAAGGUAACCACUAUUUUGAUUUCCAUUACCAUAGAUGAGUUAUACUUGUUUUUGAAAAGAUUAUUUGAAAUGUGUAAUAUAAAUAAUAGCGGUUGCUUAUCUUACAGAAAUAUCACUGAGAAUUCAUUUCUUCUCUCCUUCAUUUAUUCAUUUGUUCAAAACACUGUCUAGUACCAACAUUGUCCACCGGGCGUUGAGAAUACAAUAUUGAAGAAGAGUCACUGCCUGCCCUCUGGAAAAAUCAGAGUAUUUGAAAGAAUACACACAAGUAAACAGGCAGCUAUGGCAAAGUGGGUAAAAGCUGCAAAACAGGGAAGUUUCGCCAAGUGUCAGAUGCCAAGAAGUGUCAGAUGCCAAGAAGAAAGGGUGCAUGACAUAGACUUGGGGGGGUCAGUAGUGGUUUCUGGAACGAGUGACAUUUAGACUGAAACUGGAAGGAUAUGAGUAAGGGCUAAUCGGACCAAGAUGAAGAGAUACAGAAGCAGAAGGAACAGUAGGAACAAAUGCUCAGAGGCAAAAGAAAGCUUUGAAUAUUUGAGGAACUGAAAAGCAAAACAACAAAAAAUAGCCAUCCCUUGACUAGACAAGUGACCUGGGGUCAGAUCCUGAAGGGCUUUGCAGAUCACUUUUCCGCUUGUAGACUUUGUACUUGACUUUAAGGGCCAUGGAGAGCCACUGAAGCAUUUUCAGCAAGGGACUGUCAUCAGCAGAUUGGUAUUUGUUUUGAAGUAGCACAUGUAAGAGAAAAUAACAAUAUGGACAAAUAAAGAGUUUGAAAAACAACUUUGCUUUGAUACUUUAGGAUGAAAUAUCUGAGAUAGCAGCGCCCCCCCCCCCAUCAGCCAUUUUUAAUGACACUACUAUUUGAGCACAAGUUGCAAGAAAAUUUGCAACAAAUAGGCUUUUUCUGUAGAACACAAAGCAGGGAUGUUUGAACGAUGCAUUAUUUGAAUUCCAUCUUAGUAGGAAGCCAUCCAUAAUAGGAGGAAGUUGAGGAAUAGGCCUAAUGUUCACAGUGGCACAGGUGGCGUUUGCAUCUGCCUUCAAUGUUCCUAUGAUACGAAUCCUCCACUGCAGAAAAUUCCUCGUGGAAUUUUCUAUUUUAUGUGUUAAACUUUAUCGAAAUCUUUUCCUGAUGUUUAUAUUUCUGUGAUAAUCAUUAUUAAACUGAAAAAUGCGGAA